UCCAUGUGAGAAUUACCUAUU
This 21-nucleotide non-coding RNA is filed under the name Caenorhabditis elegans. Lineage: Eukaryota; Metazoa; Nematoda; Chromadorea; Rhabditida; Rhabditidae. The record is from RNAcentral.